RNAcentral lists this ribosomal RNA (392 nucleotides) under uncultured Bicosoecida. RNAcentral's name for it is "partial small subunit ribosomal RNA". It matches the Rfam family "Eukaryotic small subunit ribosomal RNA", at positions 30 to 432 of the family's 1831-position model. Lineage: Eukaryota; Bigyra; Bicosoecida. The record is from RNAcentral.
GCUUGUCUCAAAGAUUAAGCCAUGCAUGUCUAAGUAUAAACAAAUCUAUACUGUGAAACUGCGAAUGGCUCAUUAUAUCAGUUAUAGUUUAUUUGAUGGUUCUUGCUACUUGGAUAACCGUAGUAAUUCUAGAGCUAAUACAUGCGUGAAGUCCUGACCUUACGGAAAGGAUGCACUUAUUAGAUACAACCAACCCUUCGGGUCCCUGGUGAAUCAUAAUAAUUGAGCGAACCGCAUGCUUCGGCGGCGGUGGUUCAUUCAAGUUUCUGCCCUAUCAGCUUUCGAUGGUAGGGUAUUGGCCUACCAUGGCGUUAACGGGUAACGGAGAAUUAGGGUUCGAUUCCGGAGAGGGAGCCUGAGAGAUGGCUACCACAUCCAAGGAAGGCAGCAGG